UAGGGAAUCUUCCACAAUGGACGAAAGUCUGAUGGAGCAACGCCGCGUGAGUGAUGAAGGGUUUCGGCUCGUAAAACUCUGUUGUUGGAGAAGAACAGGUGUGAGAGUAACUGUUCACAUCUUGACGGUAUCCAACCAGAAAGCCACGGCUAACUACGUGCCAGCAGCCGCGGUAAUACGUAGGUGGCAAGCGUUGUCCGGAUUUAUUGGGCGUAAAGCGAGCGCAGGCGGUUUCUUAGGUCUGAUGUGAAAGCCUUCGGCUUAACCGGAGAAGUGCAUCGGAAACCAGGAGACUUGAGUGCAGAAGAGGACAGUGGAACUCCAUGUGUAGCGGUGAAAUGCGUAGAUAUAUGGAAGAACACCAGUGGCGAAGGCGGCUGUCUGGUCUGUAACUGACGCUGAGGCUCGAAAGCAUGGGUAGCGAACAGGAUUAGAUACCCUGGUAGUCCAUGCCGUAAACGAUGAGUGCUAAGUGUUGGAGGG
RNAcentral lists this ribosomal RNA (483 nucleotides) under uncultured bacterium. Its description in RNAcentral is "partial 16S ribosomal RNA". It matches the Rfam family "Bacterial small subunit ribosomal RNA", at positions 355 to 830 of the family's 1533-position model. The record is from RNAcentral.